Non-coding RNA from Lentinus tigrinus ALCF2SS1-7, 83 nucleotides. The record is from the annotation of a GenBank genome assembly. Lineage: Eukaryota; Fungi; Basidiomycota; Agaricomycetes; Polyporales; Polyporaceae.
GAACCCUUGGCGCAGCGGUAGCGCGUGAGAUUCCAGCUUCAGGUGGUUCCUCAAGGUCAUCCGUUCAAAUCGGGUAGGGUUCA